Molecule: long non-coding RNA, 764 nt
Organism: Pseudophryne corroboree (corroboree frog)
Lineage: Eukaryota; Metazoa; Chordata; Amphibia; Anura; Myobatrachidae
Exons: 3
Source: RefSeq, a predicted model, not a curated record
UCAGAGGGAGCUGGGAGAUGACGGUGCUGAAGGAAGGAGCUGCGCUGUCUGUGUGUCCUGGCAGUGCUGACAGGCUACUUUACCAUCCAGUGAAGUCUUGGACAGUAAAGUUAUUAUCUGCUUCUCUCUAUAAAACCUCUGUGGGCCUCUGGUGACAGUGAGGUAUGGAGCAGUGCAGGGCUGGUGAAGCAGUCAUUUUCUGAUGAUGACAGUCUGGAGGAGCGGUCCACUGCAGAUUGCAAGCCGCGUGCAAAGCCCUCACAACAGCCCCAGCAUAGAGAGAGACUGAGAGAGGCGGGCCAUGAGGUGGAGUCAGACUCGCCAUAUAAGGUGCAAGAGACAAAUUACAGCUGAAUGUAGACUACCAUUGCUGGACCUUCCGCCAGACUGGAGACCAGCCAGACCGGGUAAGGCUAGCACAAGGAGGCUGAAGACAAUGGUGAGGGACGUCAGCCAGAACGUGAUAAAGAGUUAUUUGGAAAAGACAAGAACAAAAAAAGACACCAAAAGUCUUCUGCCGUCAUCCAGUUUUCUGACUUGCUGCAAUAAUUUACAUUUCUUAUCAAGACAUUCGCCCGCUAAAACAAGGGUUGACAUCAGCCAAUUAACCUCCAUACUCAGAAAGCCACAUGGGGCAUAGUUUUCACUACUAGGAAAUAAUUUUUUCCUGAAAGACUAUCACAUUCAUUUUCUGAUCUAUGUUCAUGCAUAUUUAUAAGGACUGAGUGAAGAACACCCAUUAUAGUGUACUGAGAAUGAAUGUU